Molecule: ribosomal RNA, 358 nt
Filed under: uncultured bacterium
Lineage: Bacteria
Description: partial 16S ribosomal RNA
Rfam family: Bacterial small subunit ribosomal RNA
Source: RNAcentral
CCUACGGGAGGCUGCAGUGAGGACUAUUGGUCAAUGGUCGGGAGACUGAACCCGCCAAGCCGCGUGAGGGAGGACGGUACAGAGUAUCGUAAACCUCUUUUGUCAGGGAACAAAGGCGGGGACGUGUCCCCGGAUGAGUGUACCUGAAGAAAAAGCAUCGGCUAACUCCGUGCCAGCAGCCGCGGAACUACGGGGGAUGCGAGCGUUAUCCGGAGUUAUUGGGGUUACAGGGUGCGCAGGCGGUCGGUUAAGUCAGCGGUCAAAUCCCGGGGCUCAACCCCGGCACGCCGUUGAAACUGGCAGUCUCGAGUUGGAGAGAAGUAUGCGGAAUGCGCGGUGGAGCGGUGAAAUGCAUAGA